RNAcentral lists this ribosomal RNA (483 nucleotides) under uncultured bacterium. RNAcentral's name for it is "bacterial SSU rRNA". It matches the Rfam family "Bacterial small subunit ribosomal RNA", at positions 30 to 507 of the family's 1533-position model. The record is from RNAcentral.
UUGAACGCUGGCGGCAUGCCUUACACAUGCAAGUCGAACGGGCAGCACGGGAGCAAUCCUGGUGGCGAGUGGCGAACGGGUGAGUAAUAUAUCGGAACGUGCCCAGUCGUGGGGGAUAACGUAGCGAAAGCUACGCUAAUACCGCAUACGAUCUAUGGAUGAAAGCGGGGAUCGCAAGACCUCGCGCGAUUGGAGCGGCCGAUAUCAGAUUAGGUAGUUGGUGAGGUAAAGGCUCACCGAGCCGACGAUCUGUAGCUGGUCUGAGAGGACGACCAGCCACACUGGGACUGAGACACGGCCCAGACUCCUACGGGAGGCAGCAGUGGGGAAUUUUGGACAAUGGGCGCAAGCCUGAUCCAGCAAUGCCGCGUGCAGGAUGAAGGCCUUCGGGUUGUAAACUGCUUUUGUACGGAACGAAACGGUGAGCUCUAAUACAGUUUGCUAAUGACGGUACCGUAAGAAUAAGCACCGGCUAACUACGUG